This is a long non-coding RNA of Daphnia carinata, 838 nucleotides long. RefSeq lists it as uncharacterized. The transcript has 3 exons. The record is from RefSeq and is a predicted model, not a curated record. Lineage: Eukaryota; Metazoa; Arthropoda; Branchiopoda; Diplostraca; Daphniidae.
GAACAAGGUGUUGCUGCUGCGUCUCAUGCCAUGGAACAAAAGCCAGAAGUUACACACUCGUGAAUUGGCCAUUCUAAGUCACCGCUACACCAUGGCCACUGAUGUUCCUGCCCUUGGUCUAGAUAUUGCUGGCGUCAACUAUGUCGUAAAUUAUGACUUGCCAACUGAAAUUGAAGAGAAUGUUCAUCGUGUUGGUCGAACGGGCUGAGUGGGAAAUGUCGGAAAAUUAAUAAGGUUCUUUGACGAAGAAGAGAAGCGCCUAACGCUGGAAAGUUUGUGUCUUUGUUAACUUGGUCCAACGCCGGGUGCACCGCUAUUCAUGCAAGCGAUGUUUUAUUUCAUUAAUCUUUGCGAAAUGGAUGGGAGAGAGUGGACGACGGAAUAGCACAGCUGCCCAACUUCCGAAUGGUGCAAUAUGCGUCUUACGCUUCCAAUUCCGGAUUGUGUUGUCGCAACAGGAUGGUUGAGCACGUUUCUCGGCUAUUUUGCUUUGUGUUACUUAUCUGUUUUAAUAUUUGCUUUUCUUUGUAAAUAUGUGAAGUUAUUAGCUUUUAAGUUCUCGAAAAAAUUACACAGAUAAGUGUUGAGGGGGUGGGGGAGGGUAGUGUGAUGUAAAUAUGAAAAUAAUUUGUUCGGUAGAUUGAGGUAGGUGGUGCUAAUCAAACCGUAACUUGCGUGGUGGCAAUGUUGGAUUAGGGAGUUGGUUAAUUUAGUAAAGUUUCCAACUUUUGUAGGCUGAAGGUGAGGUAGGGUAGAUUCAAGGAUAACGAACGUUAACAUCAUUUACCCCGACGCAUCUACCACAUGUUUCUUUCAUGCAAUAGGUAAAUGUGUGUAA